GACGUAGGGCGCGAGCGUUGUCCGGAUUUAUUGGGCGUAAAGAGCUCGUAGGCGGUUUGUCACGUCGGCUGUGAAAACCCGAGGCUCAACCUCGGGCCUGCAGUCGAUACGGGCAGACUAGAGUAUGGCAGGGGAGACUGGAAUUCCUGGUGUAGCGGUGAAAUGCGCAGAUAUCAGGAGGAACACCGGUGGCGAAGGCGGGUCUCUGGGCCAUAACUGACGCUGAGGAGCGAAAGCGUGGGGAGCGAACAGG
RNAcentral lists this ribosomal RNA (253 nucleotides) under uncultured bacterium. RNAcentral describes it as "partial 16S ribosomal RNA". It matches the Rfam family "Bacterial small subunit ribosomal RNA", at positions 524 to 776 of the family's 1533-position model. The record is from RNAcentral.